AUCGCUUCUCGGCCUUUUGGCUAAGAUCAAGUGUAGUAUCUGUUCUUAUCAGUUUAAUAUCUGAUACGUCCCCUACCCGGGGACCAUAUAUUAAAUUGAUUUUUGGAACAGGGAGAUGGAACAGGGGCUUGCUCCGUCCACUCCACGCAUCGACCUGGUAUUGCAGUACCUCCAGGAACGGUGCACUCCUC
The sequence is a small nuclear RNA, 191 nucleotides long. Its record names the gene U2. It matches the Rfam family "U2 spliceosomal RNA". Rfam says of the family: U2 is a small nuclear RNA (snRNA) component of the spliceosome (involved in pre-mRNA splicing). The record is from Ensembl.